GGUGCAACCUGCGGAAGGAUCAUUG
This 25-nucleotide ribosomal RNA is filed under the name Rinorea dimakoensis. RNAcentral describes it as "Rinorea sp. 'dimakoensis' partial 18S ribosomal RNA". The record is from RNAcentral. Lineage: Eukaryota; Viridiplantae; Streptophyta; Magnoliopsida; Malpighiales; Violaceae.